AAUCGUCCGUUCUACGUGUGUAGUGAGAAUGGGGUGGCAUGCUUCUUUUUUUGGGUCGAUGCUCUGGCCAAGACUCUGAUAAAUGAACUGCAAGAAGAGCAUGACGAAUGGUUGCGCAUGCUUCCCCAAUACGCAGUGGCCGCAGCAUGAGCUCCGGAAGAAGAGAUGGAGGGCGAAGCACGCAAUGACAGAGAGCUAGCUGUUGAGCUUAGGAUGUUGAAGAAGAAGGUUAGGAAGCUUGAAGAUCAAGCACUACCAAUACCCAUUUGCAAAUACUUUUGGGCAUUUGUAGGUAUGGUAAUCGCACUGGUUGUAAUGUUUAAAAUGUAUGGAAAGGCAUGA
Molecule: ribosomal RNA, 342 nt
Filed under: Triticum aestivum (bread wheat)
Lineage: Eukaryota; Viridiplantae; Streptophyta; Magnoliopsida; Poales; Poaceae
Description: partial small subunit ribosomal RNA
Source: RNAcentral